Molecule: long non-coding RNA, 623 nt
Filed under: Felis catus (domestic cat)
Lineage: Eukaryota; Metazoa; Chordata; Mammalia; Carnivora; Felidae
Description: lncRNA (ENSFCAG00000050349.1)
Source: RNAcentral
UUCUCCUUCAGGAUCAUUUUUCUCAACAUCCCAGCCCACUUAAUAUGUUGAGGUGUGGGAAUGGUGGGUCAGAAUAGAGGGGAGUAUUUUCUGAAGGGUCAUUUUAGAGCCUAUGUCAUUUAUUUACUUGUUUCCUGAUUCUUCAAAAGGUAGUGUCAGGACCUGAAUUCUGGGGUGUGACUCUUCUCCAGCUAAAGAACUGUUCUUUGGUGUAAAGGAUAGAAUUUCCUGAGGACCUCUGCUGUGUGGGCUGGCUGAAAUAGGUGGCAGUGAGGUUCCUGUAGAAAUAUGUAGAUAGUUGUUCACUUUGAAUUAAGAAAAAAAGACGCAAACUAUUCAUUUGGAUUCAAGGUCCAUCUCCAGUGGUGGCUGUAGUGGCCUUGUAGUGGCAGAUCAUCACCUUCAACAAGUCUGCACUCAGGAACUAUCAUCUUCGCUCAGACUAAGUGCCUCUGUCUUUUCUCUGUAUUGUUGACAGAGGUUCUGUGUUUGGAAAGGGGACUGUGUGACUGCUGAGCUGACGACUGACUUGCCACAAAGUUUAUGUCUGAUCCAGUGAAAGAGUGUUAAGACAUUGACCUGGGACACAUUGAAAACCAAGGCCAAGACUGUAUAGAGCUAUC